UAGUCUGACAGCACUCAUCCAAACCCACACAUAUGAAUAUUUUAAUGGUUAAAACAAACAAUUAUUAAAACUAUUAAUUAUUUUUUUCCUAAAUUGUUAACAUUUCAGGAGUUUCUUCCUGUUGUGAAUCAUAAUGUUUUAGAUCUUAACCAGCUGAUUUUUGAUCAUUUUUAAUUUUUGGAACAAAAGAUUCUCAACAAAAGAUACAGAAUUUGUUUCUAUUUUUAUUAAAAUUGAGUUGAUCUCAGUCUUAAAGCAUCCCAUAAAAAUAAUUAAACAUGUCAGAAAUGUUUAAAGGUUGUUUCACUUGAGCUGAUCUAAAUCCUUUAAUGAUUUAAAUGUUGGAGUCUGUGAGAGAAUGAAAAGUGCACAGUCAACUUGUUUGAAGCGUCUGAACCGAGGAAACUGAUGAUGAGGUCAGACUGAGGUGACUGAGUGACACAAUGACUGUAUUCAUGAGUGAACGAAUGAAUGGAAAACACAGAUUCCUCUGUUUACUGUCCCACUGCUGCAAGGCCUUCUGGGUAAUACGAGAAACACUCCUCAGUCUAAUUCAAUCUGUCUAAUGUCUCCAAACCAGUCUAAUCCAUGAGGUUUAACCAGUCUAAACCCAAUUUAUAACCAGUCUAAUCCAUGAGGUUUAACCAGUCUAAACCCAGUUUAAAUCAGUCUAAUCCAUGAGGUUUAACCAGUCUAAACCCAAUUUAAACCAGUCUAAUCCAUGAGGUUUAACCAGUUUAAACCAGUCUAAUCCAUGAGGUUUAACCAGUCUAAACCCAAUUUAAACCAGUCUAAUCCAUGAGGUUUAACCAGGCUAAACCCAAUUUAAACCAGUCUAAUCCAUGAGGUUUAACCAGUCUAAACCCAAUUUAAACCAGUCUAAUCCAUGAGGUUUAACCAGUCUAAAGCCAAUUUAAACCAGUCUAAUCCAUGAGGUUUAACCAGUCUAAACCCAAUUUAAACCAGUCUAAUCCAUGAGGUUUAACCAGUCUAAAGCCAAUUUAAACCAGUCUAAUCCAUGAGGUUUAACCAGUCUAAAGCCAAUU
This is a long non-coding RNA of Austrofundulus limnaeus, 1046 nucleotides long. RefSeq lists it as uncharacterized. The transcript has 3 exons. The record is from RefSeq and is a predicted model, not a curated record. Lineage: Eukaryota; Metazoa; Chordata; Actinopteri; Cyprinodontiformes; Rivulidae.